UAAGAUGGGGGAAAACAAGAACGUUCCCGAAGUUCCUGUUGUAGAACAGAAGGUUCUUGAUACGACAAGCAAUGAACCAUAGGUUCCUCAUGGGUCAAAUAUGUCAAAUAUUGCACAAGUUACCAAAAACUAUCAUGAAUAUCAAACGAUAAUGGCUGUGCUUAGGAAGCGAAUCAAUGAUACUGGAAAAAAUUGGCGCCACGUGUACGAAGUUUGCACAUCUCCUAUGCUCUUUCUGAUUUUCGUAGAGCUUUCUAUCUGAGAUUCUAUGGCGAGUUAUAUGUGUGAUUAUGCAUCUAGAUCUUCUCGAAUUUCAUAUUUGACAUCUUGUAGGAUUUUAAGAAAC
Molecule: long non-coding RNA, 346 nt
Organism: Papaver somniferum (opium poppy)
Lineage: Eukaryota; Viridiplantae; Streptophyta; Magnoliopsida; Ranunculales; Papaveraceae
Exons: 3
Source: RefSeq, a predicted model, not a curated record